This 503-nucleotide ribosomal RNA is filed under the name uncultured bacterium. RNAcentral describes it as "partial 16S ribosomal RNA". It matches the Rfam family "Bacterial small subunit ribosomal RNA", at positions 28 to 507 of the family's 1533-position model. The record is from RNAcentral.
GACGAACGCUGGCGGCGUGCUUAACACAUGCAAGUCGAACGGUGAAGCGCUUUCCUUUUUGGUUGGUGUGGAUGAGUGGCGAACGGGUGAGUAACACGUGAGUAACCUGCCCCCUUCUUCUGGAUAACCGCAUGAAAGUGUGGCUAAUACGGGAUAUUCUGCGCCUGCUGCAUGGUGGGUGUGGGAAAGAUUGUGCCUUUGGGUGUUUUCGGUGGGGGAUGGGCUCGCGGCCUAUCAGCUUGUUGGUGGGGGGAUGGCCUACCAAGGCGGUGACGGGUAGCCGAGGUGAGAGGGGGGAAGAUCAGAAGGGGACCGAGACACGGACCACACUGCGACGGGAGGGAGGAGUAGGGAAGACUGCACAAUGGGCGCGAGCCUGAUGCAGCGACGCCUGGUGAGGGAUGGAGGCGUUCGGGUUGUGAACCUCUUUCGCGAGUGGAGCAGGCCGGCUCCUUGUGGGUGGGUUGACGGUAGCUGGAUAAGAAGCACCGGCUAACUACGUG